AGAGAUAUUACGUUUUUAGGUAGACAAAGUAAUACAGUAAGAAUCUGAAACAAUGGAUCUUCUGUAGUAUUUUUGUUUAACCAGACCGAUAUUAUAAAUGUUUUUUACUUAAAUGUCACAGUGAAAUGUUUAGGUCUAAUUAGAUCAGUAAGUGAUUUACCUUGUUGUUGUCAGCUUUCGGCGGUGAAAAAAGUCUGCAGUGGGAGAGAGGAGGUGCCACUGAGAGAGCUGAAGCUCCGGCAGGAUAAAUCUGAUGUCACCAUCAACUUUUGGCGUGAUGCUGCCGUUGAGGAGUUGGUGCUUGGCAGCACAUAUAGCUUCUCACAUAUGACAAGUAGGGCUGCAGGGGGUGAUCAGCUGCAGUCAAUUGCCCACACCAACAUAAAGAUGGUGACCGUGACACAGGAGGCAGUCGGGGUGGAGGUCCUGGGUGUCACAGAGGGCAACACAGAAGGACAGCUGGAGGUCCUGCUGUCCAACGGAGCUCUCCUGG
This is a long non-coding RNA of Osmerus eperlanus (European smelt), 493 nucleotides long. RefSeq lists it as uncharacterized. The record is from RefSeq and is a predicted model, not a curated record. Lineage: Eukaryota; Metazoa; Chordata; Actinopteri; Osmeriformes; Osmeridae. The transcript is spliced from 3 exons.